This 452-nucleotide unclassified non-coding RNA is filed under the name Hevea brasiliensis (rubber tree). Lineage: Eukaryota; Viridiplantae; Streptophyta; Magnoliopsida; Malpighiales; Euphorbiaceae. The record is from RNAcentral.
GGAACUGGCAAACCCAAGGAAGAGAUUGCCAAAGAUGUCCAACGACCCAGAUACUUCCAAGCACAAGAAGCUAUUGACUACGGCAUUGCAGACAAAAUAAUCGACUCUCAAGAUACUGCAUUUGAAAAAAGGAAUUACGACGAGAUGCUUGCGCAGUCGAGAGCUAUGAGGAGAGGACCAGGAGGCAAUCCACAAGCGGCACCGUCUGGGUUCAGGUAAACAAAGAUAGAUAAUGUAGAAGUGUACAAAUAGAAGGUCCCAUAUCCCCACUCUUAGCUAGCUACAACCUCAGAUAAGCUUUAUAAUUAUUUAUGUCUUUUAUUUUUGGGGUUUGGGGGUUCUGGUUUACUUCUGAAGCACUUCAUAACUGAACACCACCAAUAUGAUCUUUGUAGGCCAUUGUAUAAAAGACUCUCUCUCAUUAAGGCAUGAUGAAUAUAUGUGAUGUUUUC